GACGAACGCUGGCGGCGUGCUUAACACAUGCAAGUCGAACGGAAAGGCCCUGCUUUUGUGGGGUGCUCGAGUGGCGAACGGGUGAGUAACAUGUGAGUAACCUUCCCUUGACUUUGUGAUAACUUCAGGAAACUGGGGCUAAUACCGGCUACGAGCUCCUGCUGCAUGGUGGUGGUUGGAAAGUAUAGGCGGUUGUGGAUGGACUCGGGGCUUAUCAGCUUGUUGGUGGGGUAGUGGCUUACCAAGGCUUUGACGGGUGGCCGGAAUGAGAGGGUUACCGGGCACAUUGGGACUGAGAUACGGAGCAGAAUCGUACGGGAGGCAGCAGGGGGGAAUAUUGUACAGUGGGGGGAAGCCUGAUGAAACAAUGCCGCGUGCGGGAUGAAGGCCAUGGGGUUGUAAACCGCUUUCGCCUGUGACGAAGCGGGAGUGACGGUAAUGGGUAAAGAAGCACCGGCUAACUACGUG
RNAcentral lists this ribosomal RNA (468 nucleotides) under uncultured bacterium. Its description in RNAcentral is "partial 16S ribosomal RNA". It matches the Rfam family "Bacterial small subunit ribosomal RNA", at positions 28 to 507 of the family's 1533-position model. The record is from RNAcentral.